UAGAGACCAUCAGUGAUUUGAGUGGGAGAGCAAAGCGAAGCAGGAGCAUUGGGAUGAAGGAGGAAAGCUUCCUGGCCCCUGUGGUGAUAACCUAGCGCAGCUCUGCCUCUGGGGGAGCAGAUGCCAGCCUUUGGAGCAUGCUGCUGUCUGGUGUGUGCUCACACCUCUGAGGCAGUGGUGGGUCCUGAGCAGCCCUACAAUUGAAGGAUAACUUCCUGUUGCUCACACCCUGGCAGAGCUGCUGGCAUCCCUGCUGUUCCGUAUUCCUCCCCAGAAUCUGCAUUGUUCCAACAAUCAGCUGGAAGUUCCGACCCUUUGUGUGCUUAGUUCUAGCAUUUUGGGGCAGAUCGUUGAGGUGCUGGGCUGGCAGAGUGAGAGCCCUGUGGUCAGUCGGGCUGUGUGUCUGUCCCUAAGCCCUCGCUUUUCCCAGGAAUGGGAUGGCAAGAGCCCCAC
Pezoporus flaviventris is the source of this 453-nucleotide long non-coding RNA. RefSeq lists it as uncharacterized. Lineage: Eukaryota; Metazoa; Chordata; Aves; Psittaciformes; Psittacidae. The record is from RefSeq and is a predicted model, not a curated record. The transcript has 3 exons.